UACAUUAGCAUGGGAUAAUGGAAUAGGACCCUGUCCUCCUAUUUUCAGUUGGUUUUGGCAGCGCGAGGACUAGGGUAAUGAUUAAUAGGGAUAGUUGGGGGCAUUAAUAUUUAAUUGUCAGAGGUGAAAUUCUUGGAUUUAUGAAAGAUUAACUUCUGCGAAAGCAUCUGCCAAGGAUGUUUUCAUUAAUCAAGAACGAAAGUUAGGGGAUCGAAGACGAUCAGAUACCGUCGUAGUCUUAACCAUAAACGAUGCCGACCAGCGAUUAGGAGACGUUGAAUACAAAACACCACCAUCGGUGCGGUCGUCCUUGGCGUCGGUCUUUCGGGGCCGGCGCGGGGACGGCUUAGCCCGGUGGCACCGGUGA
This 367-nucleotide ribosomal RNA is filed under the name Acanthamoeba genotype T4. Its description in RNAcentral is "SSU rRNA". It matches the Rfam family "Eukaryotic small subunit ribosomal RNA", at positions 800 to 1116 of the family's 1831-position model. The record is from RNAcentral. Lineage: Eukaryota; Discosea; Longamoebia; Acanthamoebidae.